Molecule: transfer RNA, 69 nt
Filed under: Megalodontes spiraeae
Lineage: Eukaryota; Metazoa; Arthropoda; Insecta; Hymenoptera; Megalodontesidae
Description: tRNA-Val
Source: RNAcentral
CAAAUUAAAGCUUUAUAGAUAAGUCUCUCACUUACAUUGGGAUAGAUUCGUGCGAAUCGAAUAAUUUGA